CUGACACUUACCUGAAGAUAGCAUCAGAUGCUAUAGAUUAAGGAACUCAGGCUUACAGACUGCUUCUCAUUUCAGGCACCAAGUGCAAAGCCAGGCCUCUAGAACUUUUGGCUAGCCAGUUCCAUAGAGCAGGGUACUCAUGACCUCCUCCUUGGUCCAAUUAACCUGCUCAAGCAACUUAUAGAAUUCAGGGAAACACUUAUGUUUACCAGUUUACUGUAAAGGAUAUUGCAAAGGAUCAGGACGAACAGCCUGGAAGAGAUCAACAGCAAGAUACAGGAAGGGGUGUGGAGCUUCUGUGUCCUCUCUGGUAUUACAACUCUUGGAAUAUACAGCAUCGAUUCUACUAUCAAAUUUGGCGUGUGCCAGCACGGCGGACAACGUGUUCCAGCCACUGCCUCAGUCUUUGGAUUGAGUGGGCGGUUCGUUUUGCAGUUUACUAUCUCCUAGAGCAGCCCCCCCCCCCGCGCCGUACCUAUGGAGGAC
RNAcentral lists this long non-coding RNA (486 nucleotides) under Heterocephalus glaber (naked mole-rat). RNAcentral describes it as "lncRNA (ENSHGLG00100045498.1)". Lineage: Eukaryota; Metazoa; Chordata; Mammalia; Rodentia; Bathyergidae. The record is from RNAcentral.